UAUAAUUUCAACACCACUGGUAGGUCAGCAGCUGCGACCCACCCAAAAAUCCCGUCAGUUCAACGCAGUUAUGGUCGAUUGAGAGCGAGCGACGGCCGGACUAAGGGCAGCAGCGGCAACUCUCAUAUUUCAGUUCUACUCUUCCAUCUUGUGUUGGCUCUGGUGUACGACUACAUGCGGUGGCGGCCUGUACAAGGGUCUGUCGAUAAUAGCUGAGCACGACAAGGCGACCCGAGGGAGAUGGAGGAAGACCAGGUUAAAUUAGUGAACUGCCCUAUAUGGAAUCGCUAGAAAAAAAUCAUGUCAAUUUCCUCUACCGCGCCUCCACUCUGCAAGAAAAAGAAGUCCAGGCUAUAUACUCUAGACUGUUGGAUUCAUCUAGAACCCUAAAAAGAUCGGUUUGAUCUGUAACAUAUCAUCUACAAAAAUUGAUUUUUUACAUUUAAAUAUUUUUGCAUUGCUCUUGACUAGAUUGUUUUGUAGGGAGCAUAGGAGAGCAAGAUGGGGUGGUCUGCAUCACCUUCAGUUGGCACAUGCGCAUGCACCUGCAGUAAUCAUUAUCUUUCCCAUGGUUAAGAUGUAUGAUGCAUGAACUUCUAAUAUUUUGAUGUUAAUUUCAAAUGGCUGAUGGAAGAUAAUUUGCUUCUAAUAGUUGUUAUGUAUUGACCCUUGCUUGUUCUUGUUGUAGAUGAAAUUGACCUGAUAGCUCUUAUGUUAGCACUUUCUAAAGUUCACAUUUAUUACAUGCCAUUUGUGUGCUCAAGAAAUAUCUGGACAAUCUUUUGCUAGCGGUAAGUUUCAUGUUUGUGACUUUUUGCUAUGUCAAACGAAGAACAGAAGCCCGAAGCCCGUUACUGUGUGAAUAAUGGCCUCCUUCUGAAGAUAUUUAAUUCACCAUGCUUAUUCAGUUUGUGACGGAAUGGUCUGAUUGCUGAUCCGGGUUUUUUGCAUUAGCGAUGAAGUAGAUGAGUGCAAUGUGGUUAAAGAAGGGAAAGGAACAAGCGAGAUGAGAUAUUUUGAAGCGACAUCAAUUCUAGAGAAAGAUGGACGAUGUGCAGGGAAAUGAGGGGUGGAGGAAAAGAUGUCACUUGUCUUCUCAAAAUUAGAGGGUUAAAGAGAUAGGACAACUGCCAAGGAGGAAAGUGCAGAUGAAGAGAGCAGAUAUGAAGGGGAAGGAGGGGCGGAGAAAAAUAUGUCACUUCUAUUCUCAAGUAGAAGAUGGUUUGAAGAGACAUGACAACCACCGAGGAGGAAAUAAGCAUGAGCGA
This is a long non-coding RNA of Triticum dicoccoides, 1268 nucleotides long. RefSeq lists it as uncharacterized. The record is from RefSeq and is a predicted model, not a curated record. NCBI's taxonomy places the organism in Eukaryota, Viridiplantae, Streptophyta, Magnoliopsida, Poales, Poaceae. The transcript has 3 exons.